GGGUCAGUAGGUUGGUCGUGCCACCGGUACGUACUGGUCUCACUGAUUCCUCCUUCCUGAAGAACCGUAAUGCCAUUAAUUUGGUGUUGCGGGGAAACAGGACUGUUACUUUGAAAAAAUUAGAGUGUUUAAAGCAAGCUAACGCUUGAAUACAUUCGCAUGGAAUAAUGAAAUAGGACGAUCGAUCCUAUUUUGUUGGUUUCUAGGAUUGACGUA
RNAcentral lists this ribosomal RNA (216 nucleotides) under Glomeromycotina sp. Its description in RNAcentral is "partial small subunit ribosomal RNA". The stretch from base 40 to 216 matches the Rfam family "Eukaryotic small subunit ribosomal RNA", at positions 686 to 864 of the family's 1831-position model. Lineage: Eukaryota; Fungi; Glomeromycota. The record is from RNAcentral.